RNAcentral lists this ribosomal RNA (547 nucleotides) under uncultured bacterium. RNAcentral describes it as "bacterial SSU rRNA". It matches the Rfam family "Bacterial small subunit ribosomal RNA", at positions 355 to 893 of the family's 1533-position model. The record is from RNAcentral.
UGGGGAAUAUUGCACAAUGGGCGCAAGCCUGAUGCAGCCAUGCCGCGUGUGUGAAGAAGGCCUUCGGGUUGUAAAGCACUUUCAGCGAGGAGGAAGGCAAUCGUGUUAAUAGCACGGUUGAUUGACGUUACUCGCAGAAGAAGCACCGGCUAACUCCGUGCCAGCAGCCGCGGUAAUACGGAGGGUGCAAGCGUUAAUCGGAAUUACUGGGCGUAAAGCGCACGCAGGCGGUUUGUUAAGUCAGAUGUGAAAUCCCCGCGCUUAACGUGGGAACUGCAUUUGAAACUGGCAAGCUAGAGUCUUGUAGAGGGGGGUAGAAUUCCAGGUGUAGCGGUGAAAUGCGUAGAGAUCUGGAGGAAUACCGGUGGCGAAGGCGAUCAUCUGGGGCUAACCUGACACUGAGGAGCGAAAGCUAGGGGAGCAAACGGGAUUAGAUACCCCGGUAGUCCUAGCCGUAAACGAUGGACACUAGGUGUAGGUGGUAUCGACUCCAUCUGUGCCGCAGUUAACACAAUAAGUGUCCCGCCUGGGGAGUACGGCCGCAAGG